AGUGAACGCUGGCGGUAGGCCUAACACAUGCAAGUCGAACGGCAGCACAGUAAGAGCUUGCUCUUACGGGUGGCGAGUGGCGGACGGGUGAGGAAUACAUCGGAAUCUACUUUUUCGUGGGGGAUAACGUAGGGAAACUUACGCUAAUACCGCAUACGACCUACGGGUGAAAGCAGGGGAUCUUCGGACCUUGCGCGAUUGAAUGAGCCGAUGUCGGAUUAGCUAGUUGGCGGGGUAAAGGCCCACCAAGGCGACGAUCCGUAGCUGGUCUGAGAGGAUGAUCAGCCACACUGGAACUGAGGCACGGUCCAGACUCCUACGGGAGGCAGCAGUGGGGAAUAUUGGACAAAGGGCGCAAGCCUGAUCCAGCCAUACCUCGUGGGUGAAGAAGGCCUUCGGGUUGUAAAGCCCUUUUGUUGGGAAAGAAAAGCAGCAGGUUAAUACCCCGCUGUUCUGACGGUACCCAAAGAAUAAGCACCGGCUAACUUCGUG
RNAcentral lists this ribosomal RNA (492 nucleotides) under uncultured bacterium. RNAcentral's name for it is "partial 16S ribosomal RNA". It matches the Rfam family "Bacterial small subunit ribosomal RNA", at positions 29 to 507 of the family's 1533-position model. The record is from RNAcentral.